GCGCCCUUGGUGCUCAGGCUCGCGGCCUCUGUCUCCCCACUCACCUCGUGACACGCCCUGCGACACCCGUCGGCGACACACCUCAGCGCCCUGCCAGGACACCGCGGCAGCGAGCCGCGCCGCAGGGGUAUGGAAAACCUCCAAGCUGAAGCAUGGGCUUACUACGGAGUUCUGUGCGGAGAGAAAGGGCAGAAAUGGAGCCAACUGUGAAGUGAGAGAAAGGAUCAAAGUUAUGUUGGACAAGUUAGAGGACCUCACACUGGAAUUAGUUUUGAAGGAAGAACGAGACACUAGAGUGUUAAGGCUGGAAGUCACAGAGCACAAGGGGCUCAGAGAGUCAGGUGGGGUGCCCUGAUGAACCAGCUUCUUUUUUUUUUUUUUUUUUUGGUUCUUUUUUUCGGAGCUGGGGAUCGAACCCAGGGCCUUGCGCUUCCUAGGUAAGCGCUCUACCACUGAGCUAAAUCCCCAGCCCCAUGAACCAGCUUCUUAAUUUCUGAAUGGCCAAGUGUGACUUCUCCAAGAAGUCUCCAGGCUUUCUCAGGAUGCACUGGAAUUGUACAAUCUAAACUCAUCUCAGACUAUAACUUCCACACCCCACACAAGCCUCCCUCUUACCAGAUGAUCACAUCCAGAUCCCCAAAGCAUGAACAAUCUGGGGAGGGGUUACCUCCCACUUCUCCUGUGGAGUUUCUCUUUGGUUCCAAGAGCACGGAUUCUCCAGACUUAGGAUCUGAGAGUGAAUACCCAUCUUCAUUUAGCCACAAACGUUCUGGACAUAAGGCAACUGUUCAGUGCACCAGAACCCAGUUUCUCCAUCUGAAUAAAGGCGCUGUGACACACACACACACACACACACACACACACACACUCACACACCACGCACAAUGAUUUAAUAACGAUCACUCAAUAGUCAUGCUUCAAAGGUGCAGCAGUCAGGCAUGGAGGCAUGUGUCUUUAAUCCUGGCAUACAGGAAGCAGAAGCAGUUGGGUCUCUGUAAGUCUGAGGCUAGCUUAGACUCCACAGUGAGUUCAAGGCCAGCCAGUCAGGACUCCAUAGUGGGACUCCUACACACACACACACACACACACACACACACACCACACCACACAUACACCAUACACAAUACACACACAACACACACACCAUACACAACACACACACACAACACAUACAUACCAUACACCACACGCACAUACCACACACCACACACACAACACACCACACCACACAUAUCACACAUCACACAUACCACACAACACACACACAACACACCACACCACACAUACACACACACAUACCACACCACACAUACACACACACAUACCACACACACACAACACACACAUACACACAAACCAUGCACACACACAUACACACACAUAAACCAUGCACACACCACACACACACACACACACACACACACACACACACACACACACACACACAAGACAAAUAAUGUAUGAAAGGGCAGCGGUGACUUGCACACCUUCCUUACCAGAGCAGAUUUUGGGAGAGGCUCCUGACCUGCUGACAUUGGCUCAGAGCCCUUUUAGAUAUCAUACUCAGUGUUUUCCAACCUCACUGUUUUAAUGUUAACUUUUCCUUUUGCCUUAACAUCCAUUUCUACUGCAACACAUUGGCACAUCUCUUUCUGCUUCAGCUGCACAUAGACCAUUUCCAUUGCUGGUGUUCUGAGGCUUCAGUCCGGUGUAUCUUUGUGUAGGUUUAUUUAACAUGUCUUCUCUGCCUGAGGCUCACUGAUCUUAAUUACACGAAUCUCUAUUUCAUUAAUGAAAAAAAAUCUGACAACCAUUACCUCCUAAAAGUAUACUUCCCCAUUAUCUCAUUAAAUACUGUCUCGGAGCCAACUAUGGUGGUGCACGCCUGUGAUUCUAGCACUCACUAUGCUGAGGCAGGAGAAGCUCAGUGUCGAGGCCAGCCUGGAUUACAUAGUGAACCUCUUGACUCAAAAAAAAAAAUGCAAGCAGAAAAAGAUGGUCUUUGCUCCACUCCUUCUUUUCUUCCAGCACUCCCAUUGGUGCUUAUGAGGCAAGCACUUCACUGACUGAGCUAGCUUCCCAAACCAUAGGCAUUUAGUAAUUUUUUAAAGAUAUGAUCCCUUGAUUUUCUUGGGCUUCAGUUCACACGCUGGUGAACUUGUAGGCUUUUGCCACUUCUGCAGUCUGCAGGUCACUUGGUGCCUGGGGAAGAGCUACUCAGAGAACAGCUGUUGGGUCCUUGCCUGGAAGGGUCACGUUCCUGUUCAGGUCCAGCUCAGUUUCUCCACCUCUCACAAUUACAGUAAAUAUCUCAGUUUUUAAGUUGCUUUGUGAGAGCAGGGAAAUUUUCCUUCAAAGGUCUGCCCUCUUGACCACCCCAGGCCUGUCUCCACUGAUGAAAACCUGGGUUUGGAGAUGCGGGGGGGAGGGAGGCUAGACCAUGUCCAAGUCUGGUUGUCCACACAGAAUUCCAACCUUGAUCGCUGUGACAAACUUCCCAACAAAAGCAAAAAAGCAAAUAAAAAGGAGGGGGGUUUACUUAACACAGACUCUCAGAUUACAGUCCACCAUGGCAAGGCAGUGCAGGCAGCAAGAACUUGAAGCAUCUGGCCAUAUCGACUCCACAGUGUGGAAGAAGAGAGGAAUGAACCCACUCAGAUCAGUAUCCCAUGCACAUACCCCUGGCCUCACCCACAGUUAAGAAGACAAUCCCCCACAGGUAUGCCUGAGGCCCCUCUCCUGGGCAGUUCUAGAGUCUGUCGACAAGACUAACCAUCACAACUAGAAAUACAUAUUUGUUGUUCAAAGACAUGUUUCUUAGGUCUAUGUAAAAGCAAAAAUGUGAAGCCAUAGAUUCCCUGGAGUCUCCCCAGUCCCAGGUCUCUGACCUAGAUGACCCCCACCCCCACCAUCCACCAAUUUCCUGUCACUCUCCCAUUCUUCUUUGCCCAGCUCUCUCACACCUGAUCCCCCCUCGUUCCCUUCCCUGUGCCUUCUCUCACCCAGUUCCCUCCCUCCACCCACCUCUGGUGACUAUAUCCCCUCGUGAGUGAGACUCAAGCAUCCUUCCUUGAGCCCUCGUUGUUAGUGUCUUUGGGUCUGUGGAUUGUAGCAUGGGUAUGUAUCCUGUACUUUAGGGCUAAUGUCCACUUGUAAGUGAGCACCAUGCAUGUCCUCUGGGGUCUGGGUUACCUCACUCAGGACGAUACUUCCCAGUUCCAUCCAUUUGCCUGGAAAUGUCAUGAUGUCCUCAUUUUACAUAGCUGGGUAAUAUUUCAUUGUGUAAAUGAACCACAUUUUCUUUAUCUUGUCUUCAGUUGAGGGACAUCUGGGUUCCUUCCAGCUUCUGGCUAUUAUGAAUAAAGCUGCUAUGAACAUAG
Non-coding RNA from Rattus norvegicus (Norway rat), 3380 nucleotides. The record is from RefSeq and is a predicted model, not a curated record. NCBI's taxonomy places the organism in Eukaryota, Metazoa, Chordata, Mammalia, Rodentia, Muridae.